Budorcas taxicolor (takin) is the source of this 859-nucleotide long non-coding RNA. RefSeq lists it as uncharacterized. NCBI's taxonomy places the organism in Eukaryota, Metazoa, Chordata, Mammalia, Artiodactyla, Bovidae. The transcript has 2 exons. The record is from RefSeq and is a predicted model, not a curated record.
GGCAGUCUCGCUGUCGGGUCCCUAAAUCCCCAUCCCAUUAGCCAGGUGCCAAGAGUGAAACCUGCAAAAGGACCCUGGUUAAAUCACCGGGCGGCCACUCCACCGGCGCCCAGCGCUAAUCCCUGGGGGCUGGCAGCCUUUUUUUUUUUUUCUUGGUCACACGGCAGGAAGACAAGCUUGCUCUGGGAGCAGCUGCCACCUGGUGACAAGCAGCGGGUUGUUAUAGGGCAGAAGGGCUGGGUGGAGCCACAGAAAAUCACUGCCAUUCCUCUGGUUUCAACAGACCUGCACCAGUGACACUUUCCUGGGAUUCCUGCAGAGGAGGAGCCUCGUCUGCAACUGGUUUCAUUCCAUCAGCCCAGAAGUGAGAAAUGGAGUAUUUCCUGCCAUAGGAAUAAACAAGGAUGCCACAGUCAUCAGUGAUUUCGGCCUUCGAUAUGUGAAUUUCUGAGCCUGGAGGGCGCCCGGGAAAAACACCACCUGUGAACCAGUAGCCAUCAGGCUGCCACCAGUCCCUCCGGUGAGCAGAACUAAGGAUGUGAGAAAUCAAACUGCAGGACGCUGGGCCCAGAUAGCUGAGAUGCGUAUGAAAGGAAUGAUCUCAGUGAGCCCAGAUGCACGCAUCUUCCCAUGCACAGAAAAGCCCUAAAUUCCUUAACUCGAGAUAUCUGGUUUUCCUUAACUAACAAUUAUCUUUUGAUGUUCAGACUACCUGACCCUUGUUGCAGAUUUCUGUAUAAUCUGAUUUCUCCCCCCUUUGCUUCCUCGGAACAGUUCUCUCAGGCCACUUUGAGAUGCUGUUUCCUGGAUUUGAAGACCUAAAAAUUCUCACCAAAUAAAACAUAACUCUCCAUCUCUA